Small nuclear RNA from Dipodomys ordii (Ord's kangaroo rat), 107 nucleotides. Lineage: Eukaryota; Metazoa; Chordata; Mammalia; Rodentia; Heteromyidae. The record is from Ensembl.
GUGCUGGCUUCGGCAGCACAUAUACUAACAUUGGAAUGAUACAGAGAAGAUUAGUGUGGCCCCUGCACAAGGAUGACACACAAAUUCAUGAAGUGUUCCAUAUUUUU